CGGACGGUAUAUGGGUUAAUAUU
Molecule: non-coding RNA, 23 nt
Filed under: Drosophila melanogaster (fruit fly)
Lineage: Eukaryota; Metazoa; Arthropoda; Insecta; Diptera; Drosophilidae
Gene: dme-miR-311-5p
Source: miRBase by way of RNAcentral